GAUGAACGCUAGCGGCAGGCUUAACACAUGCAAGUCGAGGGGCAGCAUAAAUAGUAGCAAUACUAUUGGUGGCGACCGGCGGACGGGUGCGUAACGCGUAUACAACCUUCCCUAAACAGGGGGAUAAUCUGGAGAAAUUCGGUCUAAUACCCCAUAACAUCGGAGCAGGCAUCUGUUUUGGUUAAAAUUUCCGGAGGUUUAGGAUGGGUAUGCGUAGCAUUAGCUAGUUGGUGAGGUAACGGCUCACCAAGGCGACGAUGCUUAGGGGGACUGAGAGGUUAACCCCCCACACUGGUACUGAGACACGGACCAGACUCCUACGGGAGGCAGCAGUGAGGAAUAUUGGUCAAUGGGCGGAAGCCUGAACCAGCCAUGCCGCGUGCAGGAUGACGGCUCUAUGAGUUGUAAACUGCUUUUGUGCGAGGGUAAAGUGGGCUACGUGUAGCCUUUUGAAAGUAUCGUACGAAUAAGGAUCGGCUAACUCCGUGCCAGCAGCCGCAGUAA
Molecule: ribosomal RNA, 504 nt
Filed under: uncultured bacterium
Lineage: Bacteria
Description: partial 16S ribosomal RNA
Rfam family: Bacterial small subunit ribosomal RNA
Source: RNAcentral